Molecule: ribosomal RNA, 429 nt
Filed under: Pseudomonadota bacterium
Lineage: Bacteria; Pseudomonadati; Pseudomonadota
Description: Proteobacteria bacterium partial 16S ribosomal RNA
Rfam family: Bacterial small subunit ribosomal RNA
Source: RNAcentral
UGGGGAAUUUUGGACAAUGGGCGAAAGCCUGAUCCAGCCAUGCCGCGUGUGUGAAGAAGGUCUUCGGAUUGUAAAGCACUUUAAGUUGGGAGGAAGGGCAGUAAGCGAAUACCUUGCUGUUUUGACGUUACUCGCAGAAUAAGCACCGGCUACCCCUGUGCCAGCAGCCGCGGUAAUACAGAGGGUGCAAGCGUUAAUCGGAUUUACUGGGCGUAAAGCGCGCGUAGGCGGCUAAUUAAGUCAAAUGUGAAAUCCCCGAGGUUAAAUUGGGAAUUGCAUUCGAUACUGGUUAGGUAGAGUGUGGGAGAGGAGGGUAGGAUUCCAGGUGUAGCGGUGAAAAGCGUAAAGAUCUGGAGGAAUACCGAUGGCGAAGGCAGCCAUCUGGCCUAACACUGACGCUGAGGUGCGAAAGCGUGGGGAGCAAACAGG